RNAcentral lists this transfer RNA (84 nucleotides) under Propionimicrobium sp. PCR01-08-3. RNAcentral's name for it is "tRNA-Leu". It matches the Rfam family "tRNA". From Rfam's summary of the family: Transfer RNA (tRNA) molecules are approximately 80 nucleotides in length. The record is from RNAcentral. Lineage: Bacteria; Bacillati; Actinomycetota; Actinomycetes; Propionibacteriales; Propionibacteriaceae.
GCCGGAGUGGCGGAAUUGGUAGACGCCCAGGUUUUAGGUACCUGUGCCCGUAAGGGCGUGAGGGUUCGAGUCCCUUCUCCGGCA